AGAAAUAUUAAUUAGAGAAGAGGUUUUCCUUCGAGGGCACCCCUCAGUCUCUAUGAUAAUUUCUUCAUGUCCUCCAGGGGCCAGGGGGGCCUCGCUUAUAUAGUCCUCCCCUUCUAUGCGUUUUUGGGUCAAUAGCCGAGGUGGUACUAUGUUUUUCUUGAUCCAAUAGGUCGGUGGAAUAUCCCGAGCGAAGGAGUCCUGAAUUGGCUCCAGCAGGGGGGCGGGCGCCCUGGGCCUGGCCCAGCUUUGCCUCCGCUUCGGUCUCGUGGCUUCUGGAGUCUUCUAGAUGAUGUAAAAUUACGCGGUGCGUUGAUAUCUCUAUAUAAUCCCGACAUGUGGGCCUUUCUUCCUUAUUUCCUGAUAACCCCCUGCAGAAAUAGAUAAACAACAAAACUCGUGGAAUUCUGUCAGAUCAAACCCUAAUUCUAGGUGAUGGUUGCAUAUUGGUCCUUUCUCUUGUUUAUUUGAUAAUUAAAAUUGAUACUUAAGAACCGUCAACAAAUACCCCCAUACUUAGGCUUUUACUCAUCCUCGAGAAAAGGAUGGUUGAGAAUAAUAUCUGGGGUAAACAUUUAAAACAUUCUCUUUAUAAUUGCAUGGUGUCAAAAAUUCCACUGUGUACCAUAGUCAUGGAAGUAUAUGGUUAAGAGUAAAGAUCCUUUCUUCUCAAUCCUGUCACUUGGAGUUUUUGUAUAUUUUUGAAAGAAAGUUAGCAUACCUUUUUAUCCUCAUAAGUUCUCUCAGAUCACUCAUUAUCUUUUAUAUAUAUCUCACUGAGGCUGUUUUAUUUUGCAAAAAUUCUUAAGCAUACUUACUUUGCAUUUAUUGCCUGAUCAAAACGGGAUCCAAGGAGGGGAAUGUCAUACUCUUAGAUCAAAGACUUUGAAAAUUAAAAACUUGUCAUCUCUUGCUGGCAUAUUGCUUAUUAGAGGGACCAUGGGCUAU
RNAcentral lists this long non-coding RNA (945 nucleotides) under Sorghum bicolor (sorghum). RNAcentral describes it as "long non-coding RNA (SBIC_LNC011865)". Lineage: Eukaryota; Viridiplantae; Streptophyta; Magnoliopsida; Poales; Poaceae. The record is from RNAcentral.